Molecule: ribosomal RNA, 101 nt
Filed under: Bursaphelenchus fagi
Lineage: Eukaryota; Metazoa; Nematoda; Chromadorea; Rhabditida; Aphelenchoididae
Description: partial 28S ribosomal RNA
Rfam family: Eukaryotic large subunit ribosomal RNA
Source: RNAcentral
UAAUUCACCUGAAAUGAGUACGAUUACCUGCUGAACUUAAGCAUAUCAGUAAGCAGAGGAAAAGAAACAAACAUGGAUUUCCUUAGUAACGGCGAGUGAAA